UUCAGCAGCGUUCUGCUGCUCCUUUUCUCUUUUCAGGAUCGCUGGAGCAGAGCACGAGCAGGACCUCCCGCUAGUGCUCACGGGAGAGGCUGCUGUGCAUGCGCAGAAACUCUGGGGACAGCGUACACCGCCUUGGACCUACUUGAGCAGUUUGCGCUCUCCCUCUCGCUCUCAUUUCUUUUUCUUUUUAUCUUGCAAGAGACGACAAUGUCCUCACAGUGGCGAGAAGAGUCUGGGUCACACAGAGCAAUGGGUGAGGACAAUUUAAUUAGAUCAAGACCUCAACAAAGAAGACAGUUAAUGGAUGACAGUUUGAGGUUUUGCUACAACCCUUCAAUGAAUUCAGCAGCUACAUAAAUAAAGUCUACCUGAAAAGUUUUCUGCUGAAAGGCAAUAUGAAGUGAGACAGACCAGCCUAUGAACUACAAGUUACAUUGCACAUUGAGUGAGCUUGGCCUCAAAGCAAGCAUGAUAAACAAGAAGCAGUGGACAAGAGGAGGAAACUGGGACCAUACAAGACAGCCACUGAAGAUGGAGGAACUCCAACCAGACAAGCAAGGACACACGCCAAAGUUCAAAGAAGCAGGAAGACUUGAAAUCAGUUAUGUAUAAUAUCCUGGUAUGAGACUAUGGAGUCGUUCAGAAGGUACAAAACAGUACAGAGAAGUGUCAUCAAGGUUAUCUUCCCCAAGUCCAGUCAAUAUACAUUGAUGAAGCAGAAUAACCAUAACACAAAUACUUGUUAAAAAGGAGAAAAAAAAAUACAUGAAGAAACAGCAACUCUCUUCAUUACUGGAUAAGUUAAAGAAGCCCAGUUCGUGCCAACAGCCACCCCUCAGUAGCUGACAUGACCAGGAAACCGGCUAUGCAAGACAAACGCUGCGCAAGCAAUCUGAAGCAUCGCCAUCUCUCCUCCUUCAUAUUCAAUCCAUUUCUAAAGUUUGUCAGCUUAAUUCCUAAGAUAAUGCUACUUACUUCUCUCCGUC
Molecule: long non-coding RNA, 986 nt
Organism: Suricata suricatta (meerkat)
Lineage: Eukaryota; Metazoa; Chordata; Mammalia; Carnivora; Herpestidae
Exons: 7
Source: RefSeq, a predicted model, not a curated record